GAAAUGCGAUACUUGGUGUGAAUUGCAGAAUUCAGUGAAUCAUCGAAUCUUUGAACGCACAUUGCGCCCCUUGGUAUUCCGAGGGGCAUGCCCGUUCGAGCGUCAUUAUAACCCCUCAAACCUGCAUGACCACCAGGAGUGUAUACGUACACUCCUGGUCAUACGGACGUCGGGCCGUGACUUUCGAUCUCAAAUCAGGCAAGGCUACCCGCUGAACUUAA
RNAcentral lists this unclassified non-coding RNA (221 nucleotides) under uncultured Ascomycota. RNAcentral describes it as "sequence contains ITS1". The stretch from base 1 to 105 matches the Rfam family "5.8S ribosomal RNA", at positions 50 to 154 of the family's 154-position model. The record is from RNAcentral. Lineage: Eukaryota; Fungi; Ascomycota.